UAUUAAUGCAGAUAUUUAAUUAUGCUGUAUACCUAUGGGACCGAACUAACUGUUUAAGUGGCAUGUGCUGUCAUCGGCCAUAGGGAGGCCACUAUGUGGCUUUUUUCUU
Molecule: small RNA, 109 nt
Filed under: human gut metagenome
Description: DUF3800-I RNA
Rfam family: DUF3800-I RNA
About the family: Actinobacteria, Firmicutes, Fusobacteria, Proteobacteria (1 example), Tenericutes (2 examples). Terminator (Clostridia)
Source: RNAcentral